Non-coding RNA from Streptomyces oceani, 75 nucleotides. Lineage: Bacteria; Bacillati; Actinomycetota; Actinomycetes; Kitasatosporales; Streptomycetaceae. The record is from Rfam.
CUUCACCGAGCCCAGCCACAACGGACGCUGAGGAUCGCGUCCCUCCCCAUACGUCGCCAACAGCGCCUGCGCCUC